UGGGGGAUAUUGCACAAUGGGCGAAAGCCUGAUGCAGCGACGCCGCGUGGGGGAUGAAGGCUUUCGGGUUGUAAACCUCUUUCGCUAUCGAACAAGGCCCGCUUAGGGUGGGUUGAGGGUAGGUGGAGAAGAAGCGCCGGCUAACUACGUGCCAGCAGCCGCGGUAAUACGUAGGGCGCGAGCGUUGUCCGGAAUUAUUGGGCGUAAAGGGCUUGUAGGCGGCUUGUUGCGCCUGCUGUGAAAACGCGGGGCUUAACUUCGCGCGUGCAGUGAGUACGGGCAGGCUUGAGUGUGGUAGGGAUGACUGGAAUUCCAGGUGUAGCGGUGGAAUGCGCAGAUAUCUGGAGGAACACCGAUGGCGAAGGCAGGUCACUGGGCCAUUACUGACGCUGAGGAGCGAAAGCAUGGGUAGCGAACAGG
This 420-nucleotide ribosomal RNA is filed under the name bacterium. RNAcentral describes it as "partial 16S ribosomal RNA". It matches the Rfam family "Bacterial small subunit ribosomal RNA", at positions 355 to 776 of the family's 1533-position model. The record is from RNAcentral.